AUAUCUCUCCGUACGGGAAGGAUGAGAAGCUUCGACUAAGGUUCGAUUCGAGCGCAGCGAGAAAGCGUUGCCGCAGGCAAC
This 81-nucleotide small RNA is filed under the name Salmonella enterica. RNAcentral describes it as "partial RtT sRNA". It matches the Rfam family "RtT RNA", at positions 1 to 80 of the family's 130-position model. Rfam says of the family: This family represents a bacterial cis-regulatory element known as RtT RNA. The exact function of RtT is unknown although it is thought that it may be involved in changing the cellular response in relation to amino acid starvation. RNAcentral also lists the same sequence under 3 other names. Lineage: Bacteria; Pseudomonadati; Pseudomonadota; Gammaproteobacteria; Enterobacterales; Enterobacteriaceae. The record is from RNAcentral.